GUUUUAUAGUUGAAGUACAAAUAAGGUUCCCGUCAGAUAUAUUUCUCAUUCAUAACAUCAAAAAUUACCUAACCAGAGAUUACUAAACAAGCGUUUCCCAAUCGCAUAAACAAUCAAGUCCUCUGCAAAUGAGAUUUCAAUAAUGUCCUUCCUAUUCACGAGUUGUCUGAAAGGCGUCUUUCAUCCUAACAUGUCCUCAUCCAGUGUUAGCGUGCGUUCAUAACACUCUGCUGAAGUAGAUAUUCAUGAAGUGUCUCGAUGGAUUGAAGCCAAUCAAAAUAAAGAUGGGUGAAAGGACGAUGACAAUGCCAAUUGGAUAUAGGAAGAAUGUUGUCCUCUCCAAAAAGGGCAAUACAUCAUAACCUAAAAAGUUGAGGUAAUGAUAGUAGGAAGCUGCGACCAUGAAGAGCAAAUUUGACAGCAACACAGGAAUGAAACCAUGAGCUACCAAAAGCGGGGACAGAAAAUAAUGUAUCACAUAAAGCAAAACGAACAUAGGGAAGAAAGAGUUGCAGUGGACAUCAAAUGCAUACAGCCAUUCUACCCGCUGCUCCACGGCAUGACUGCUUGGAGCUUCCUCUCGAAGGUAAUUGUUGGUUAGGAACCAGCAACAUGUUGCCAAAGUAGCUCCGGUGAGUAUAAAAUGAAAAAGCAAUACUGAGAUAACAACAAAAACAGCAUGUCCUGCACUAUGAUCAUACGCAGCACAGUAUGCUAAAGUAGCAAUCACCAACAGAAGAGUACAUAUGACAAUAAAUGCAGGAUCAUCGCGUGCCCACUGGUUCUUUGUUUGCUUGUGGUACUUUGUGUGCUGAUAUACUACUUUAGGAGAGGUGCAUAGAUGAAGCAUUUGCCAAAAGGUAUAUUCGAUAUCCAUUUGUUGCCACUUGAUUAUUUUGCGAAGGUACUGAGGCAACACUGAAUUGGGUCGGACAUGAGAGCUCGUUCGACCUAAACCUUUUGAAGUUGUGGGCAACAUCUUUAUCCUUUUCCCCCCUUGUUCUUCAAGAAUUUUGUGAUUCCUUAUUCAAUUGGAUCAAAUAUCGCUGGAUUUUACAGCUCUGCUUCUGGUUUGACACUGUAGUCCGCUCUCUUCCUCCUCCUCUUUACUCUCUCUCUG
Molecule: unclassified non-coding RNA, 1120 nt
Filed under: Hevea brasiliensis (rubber tree)
Lineage: Eukaryota; Viridiplantae; Streptophyta; Magnoliopsida; Malpighiales; Euphorbiaceae
Source: RNAcentral